CUAGUGGCCAUGUCUGCUGAACCGAGGAGGAGGUCCUGAGGGUCCCUCUUUCACUAGGAGAAGGAAACAAAGGCUUCACUGACUCUCGGGGCCCAGCACAUCCUGCCCCAGCUCCGACAUCCUCUCUUGCUCCUGCUGCUGUUCCUGGAAGCUGCUAAGACUGCUAGGGUGCUCCUGCCUCAGGGCCUUUGCAGUAGCCAGGUCCUCCUCCUGCAGAUUUGUGGCUUCCUCCUCACCCCUUCAAAUAUCUGCACAGAGAUCUGCCUCUUCUUGAGCCUUUUCUAACCUCGCUAUUUAAAAUCAUAGUGCCCCCACCACCACCUUUCUUUCUUUCCCCUGAUUUAUUUUUUCACUGCAUCUUCUGAGUUUUGGUUUGUAUUUUUCAUCUCUAGUCACCGAAUGCAAGCUCAAGCCUGUCAUCUCUUGGCUUGCUUUUUUUCCCAGUGCCUGGCACGGAUCAGGCAAAGGCAUUUGUUGAUUGGCAACAAAGUCAGGAUUACUGCUCUUAAACUUAAGCUCCUUUUAUUAUUUUGUUUGAGCAAAUGCCAACAUUUCCUCCCAGUAGAGCUUGUCUUACAUAAUUGCAGUUAAUUAUUCCAGUUAGCGUGGGAAGAGAGAUUCCCUCAGGGACACAGGGGAAAGAAGAAAAAUCCAGACAGUAGAUUUUGACACUUGUUUCUAAUGUCUCUGAAACUACAGGAAAAGAGAAGCUCUAUAGAGAGUGGGUUUGUCUUAAUAAGGCCAAGUGGAAGCCAGAGUGAUGGCCCAGGGAAGCCAGGCCUGAAUCAUAGAACUUGUGUCUGGGAGCAGCAGGCAGAGAAGGCAGACAUGGGACAAGCAGUGACCUCCCUCCUGUCUCCAUACCUGCCCCUCCUCUGGAGCCCUGUGGUCAGGACCCUCAGGGCUGCACUGGAUGCAGCUGCUCAGCUUGGGCUACUCCUAUGCUGCCUGAGUUGGAGUUUGGAUGGCUGUGGCACCAGAUGUCUUCUCUCUGUUUCCUGGGCUGUGGGCUACUGCCCCAGGCUGCACUGAGCCCUCUCUGCCUGUGUGGUCUCCUUAACCUGCAGGAACAGCCCCCAACUGCCAGGAGGUGGGCUGUGCUCCCCAGCUGUACAGUCACAAGUUGAUGUCGCUUUCCUCAGUGAAGAUGUUUUGCAAAUUGACCACCGGGGAAGGCAACCCAGUUGGAGGAGGAGCCCUAAGGACACACCUGAGUUCCUGGAGGGAGAGGAGGACACUGUAGGUAUGGAUAUGGCCAGCUACUGGCCUGUGUGGCACUUCCUGAGGGCCGGCCACAACUUCUCAGUUGCCGAUCAUCUCUCCUGCUGCUCCUGGAUCUCUGACGGAGCCAGAGUCAAAUCCUAUCUCCCAGGGGUGAGCACUCACCUGUCCCCUCCAGCCUCAUGUACAUGUGUGUCACAUCAUGUAUGAAUACACAGGUACACAUUUACCUUUUACAAACACUUGCUAAGUGUUCUGAGAGGAAGUUGUAGAUAGUAUGGCCCUUUGCCCUCUGAAUACUUCUGCCCAAGAAAGUUCUUGUAAGAAAACGUGCUUGUUUAAAAAACAAUCAUCAAAUUAAAGAG
This 1586-nucleotide long non-coding RNA is filed under the name Heterocephalus glaber (naked mole-rat). RNAcentral's name for it is "lncRNA (ENSHGLG00000035474.1)". The record is from RNAcentral. Lineage: Eukaryota; Metazoa; Chordata; Mammalia; Rodentia; Bathyergidae.